AAGGGGAGCAAUCCCUGAGUAGAGUGGCAAACGGGUGAGUAACACGUGGGUGACCUGCCUUCGAGUGGGGGAUAACGUCCCGAAAGGGACGCUAAUACCGCAUAACAUCCUGCCUUUGAAGAGGCGGUGAUCAAAGCUGGGGAUCGCAAGACCUAGCACUCGAAGAGGGGCCCGCGUCCGAUUAGCUAGUUGGUGGGGUAAUGGCCCACCAAGGCAACGAUCGGUAGCCGGCCUGAGAGGGCGGACGGCCACACUGGGACUGAGACACGGCCCAGACUCCUACGGGAGGCAGCAGUGGGGAAUAUUGCGCAAUGGGCGAAAGCCUGACGCAGCAACGCCGCGUGAGUGAUGAAGGCCUUCGGG
This 363-nucleotide ribosomal RNA is filed under the name uncultured bacterium. RNAcentral's name for it is "bacterial SSU rRNA". It matches the Rfam family "Bacterial small subunit ribosomal RNA", at positions 72 to 422 of the family's 1533-position model. The record is from RNAcentral.